UUGCCUGAUCAUAGCCUCCUGAGGCCAAGC
This 30-nucleotide non-coding RNA is filed under the name Homo sapiens (human). Lineage: Eukaryota; Metazoa; Chordata; Mammalia; Primates; Hominidae. The record is from RNAcentral.